This 250-nucleotide ribosomal RNA is filed under the name uncultured bacterium. Its description in RNAcentral is "partial 16S ribosomal RNA". It matches the Rfam family "Bacterial small subunit ribosomal RNA", at positions 524 to 776 of the family's 1533-position model. The record is from RNAcentral.
UACAGAGGGUGCGAGCGUUAAUCGGAAUUACUGGGCGUAAAGCGCACGUAGGCGGCUUGGUAUGUCGGGUGUGAAAUCCCCGGGCUCAACCUGGGAACUGCAUCCGAAACUGCCUUGCUAGAGUAUGGGAGAGGGAAGUGGAAUUCCGGUGUAGCGGUGAAAUGCGUAGAUAUCGGAAGGAACAUCAGUGGCGAAGGCGACUUCCUGGACCAAUACUGACGCUCAGGUGCGAAAGCGUGGGAGCAACAGG